AAGUAGAACGCUGAGAACUGGUGCUUGCACCGGUUCAAGGAGUUGCGAACGGGUGAGUAACGCGUAGGUAACCUACCUCAUAGCGGGGGAUAACUAUUGGAAACGAUAGCUAAUACCGCAUAAGAGAGACUAACGCAUGUUAGUAAUUUAAAAGGGGCAAUUGCUCCACUAUGAGAUGGACCUGCGUUGUAUUAGCUAGUUGGUGAGGUAAAGGCUCACCAAGGCGACGAUACAUAGCCGACCUGAGAGGGUGAUCGGCCACACUGGGACUGAGACACGGCCCAGACUCCUACGGGAGGCAGCAGUAGGGAAUCUUCGGCAAUGGGGGCAACCCUGACCGAGCAACGCCGCGUGAGUGAAGGAGGUUUUCGGAUCGUAAAGCUCUGUUGUUAGAGAAGAAUGAUGGUGGGAGUGGAAAAUCCACCAAGUGACGGUAACUAACCAGAAAGGGACGGCUAACUACGUGCCAGCAGCCGCGGUAAUACGUAGGUCCCGAGCGUUGUCCGGAUUUAUUGGGCGUAAAGCGAGCGCAGGCGGUUUUUUAAGUCUGAAGUUAAAGGCAUUGGCUCGACCAAUGUACGCUUUGGAAACUGGAGAACUUGAGUGCAGAAGGGGAGAGUGGAAUUCCAUGUGUAGCGGUGAAAUGCGUAGAUAUAUGGAGGUACACCGGUGGCGAAAGCGGCUCUCUGGUCUGUAACUGACGCUGAGGCU
This 711-nucleotide ribosomal RNA is filed under the name uncultured Streptococcaceae bacterium. Its description in RNAcentral is "bacterial SSU rRNA". It matches the Rfam family "Bacterial small subunit ribosomal RNA", at positions 59 to 753 of the family's 1533-position model. Lineage: Bacteria; Bacillati; Bacillota; Bacilli; Lactobacillales; Streptococcaceae. The record is from RNAcentral.